RNAcentral lists this ribosomal RNA (292 nucleotides) under uncultured bacterium. Its description in RNAcentral is "partial 16S ribosomal RNA". The record is from RNAcentral.
GGACUACAAGGGUAUCUAAUCCCGUUCGCUCCCCAUGCUGUCGUGUCUGAGCGUCAGGUGCGAGCCAGGAGGCCGCCUUCGCCUCUGGGGUUCCUCCGGAUCUCUACGCAUUUCACCACUACACCCGGAAUUCCGCCUCCCUCUCUCGCCCUCAAGUCCUUCAGUCUGGCAUAACCCUUCCCGGUUGAGCCGGGACAUUUCAUACACCACUUGAAGAACAGCCUGCACACGCUUUACGCCCAGUAAAUCCGGAUAACGCUUGCCACCUACGUUUUACCGCGGCUGCUGGCAC